RNAcentral lists this ribosomal RNA (466 nucleotides) under Vreelandella stevensii. Its description in RNAcentral is "partial 16S ribosomal RNA". It matches the Rfam family "Bacterial small subunit ribosomal RNA", at positions 338 to 795 of the family's 1533-position model. The record is from RNAcentral. Lineage: Bacteria; Pseudomonadati; Pseudomonadota; Gammaproteobacteria; Oceanospirillales; Halomonadaceae.
CCUACGGGUGGGCAGCAGUGGGGAAUAUUGGACAAUGGGGGGAACCCUGAUCCAGCCAUGCCGCGUGUGUGAAGAAGGCCCUCGGGGUGUAAAGCACUUUCAGUGAGGAAGAACGCCUGGUGGUUAAUACCCAUCAGGAAAGACAUCACUCACAGAAGAAGCACCGGCUAACUCCGUGCCAGCAGCCGCGGUAAUACGGAGGGUGCGAGCGUUAAUCGGAAUUACUGGGCGUAAAGCGCGCGUAGGUGGCUUGAUAAGCCGGUUGUGAAAGCCCCGGGCUCAACCUGGGAACGGCAUCCGGAACUGUCAAGCUAGAGUGCAGGAGAGGAAGGUAGAAUUCCCGGUGUAGCGGUGAAAUGCGUAGAGAUCGGGAGGAAUACCAGUGGCGAAGGCGGCCUUCUGGACUGACACUGACACUGAGGUGCGAAAGCGUGGGUAGCAAACAGGAUUAGAUACCCUAGUAGUC